This 51-nucleotide transfer RNA is filed under the name Pelotomaculum sp. RNAcentral's name for it is "tRNA-Leu". Lineage: Bacteria; Bacillati; Bacillota; Clostridia; Eubacteriales; Desulfotomaculaceae. The record is from RNAcentral.
ACACGGUUCAUACCCGUGGUGUCCGGGGUUCAAGUCCCUGCGCCGCUACCA